Nicotiana tabacum (common tobacco) is the source of this 309-nucleotide non-coding RNA. Lineage: Eukaryota; Viridiplantae; Streptophyta; Magnoliopsida; Solanales; Solanaceae. The record is from RefSeq and is a predicted model, not a curated record.
GAGAAGGGGCUUCCGAAGAUGGGGCAGAACAAGCUAUAUUUUUAUGCUUCCAUAUCUUUCUCUGCUGAAGAAUUGCGGCGUCUCACUAUGGCAGAAGGAAAAGUAGACAAAGAUUCAACUGGAAAAGUUUUGGACAAAGUUCAACUUCGAGAUGAUUUAACUGAAAAAGUUAUUAAAGAUAAUGACCAUGUCCAAAUUGCUGCAAUUAAGUUACUGUAGUAGGAUGAUUUUCCUGAUUUAAUAGGGGUUCCUUUAUUUGGAUUCUGUCAGUUGUAUUUCUCUAAGUUCUUUGGGGCUUGACCAACAGAU